Macrobrachium nipponense is the source of this 503-nucleotide long non-coding RNA. RefSeq lists it as uncharacterized. The transcript has 4 exons. The record is from RefSeq and is a predicted model, not a curated record. NCBI's taxonomy places the organism in Eukaryota, Metazoa, Arthropoda, Malacostraca, Decapoda, Palaemonidae.
CAUAUUUUUCUACAUAAAAAGCCUGCAUCUAUUGCACAUUACAGGUUCUACUAGCUGCACCAGAUCAGAUGUUGACCUUAUAAAGAUAAAUACAUCAAUAGAUUUACACCACCAAGCAAAUUACACAUCAAACUAGUUGCUGACUUAUCCACACGAGAAUUUGCACAACCUUGAAUAUGUUAAUCUUGUAGGUAUCAUUCCUGCUCUGGAGAAUAGAUCAUCUGACAUAAGAGCUUCAUCCUUGAAACAUGAAUUUACUGAUGGUUAUCCAAAGGAUACUGGCCGUGAAGUGUACAGUAAUGCCACAGUAACAAGCAUUAUGGAUAAUAUUAGUUGUAUUGCUACAAGUGUUAGUCCUACUACAAAUAUUAUGACUGCUUGACCUACAUUUGCUAUUAAUACUGCUACUACUACUACCCUUCCUCCUACUGCUGCUGCUGCUUCUACUACAAUUACUACUAAUGAUGAUGUUGAUUGUAGCAUUCUCAAUGGAAAUGAUAAUU